Non-coding RNA from Cucurbita pepo subsp. pepo (vegetable marrow), 765 nucleotides. The record is from RefSeq and is a predicted model, not a curated record. NCBI's taxonomy places the organism in Eukaryota, Viridiplantae, Streptophyta, Magnoliopsida, Cucurbitales, Cucurbitaceae.
AGAAGACAAUAUCUGCUAGCGGUGGCUUGAGCUGUUACAAAACACUCCAAACUCCAGACUAUCGACUCGAAUAUACAGAGAUAGGAACCUUCAAGAAUGGAGCUUACACAAAAAGAAGCAAAACAGACAGGUCCAGCUACAGACAGCAAUCAAGAAUUCAAGAUUUCAACAAAGUUCUGUAUAAACUUACCCGAUCUUCAUCAGCUGUGACAUGAACAGGAAUGAAAACCAGAAGAAAACCAAGAGAGAGGAAGCAACUUAGCAAGAACAUAACAGCUUUUUCUUGAGAGACUAAUAAUGGGAAAGGAAGAGAAGGAAAGCUUCUUAUCAUGAUUGGCUCAUUUGACAAAAACAAAGGCUUUAUUAUUAUCUUCUCAUGUGGGUUUGUGUUUGUCUGUACUUUUUUCUGAUUGACAUGCCUCCAUUUUCAAUGCAGGAGUCUGCUAAAAGGAAAGGGGCUCACCACCAAUCACAGUUCGACUCGUGUUUAGAGAAAGGCCCAAGAAACAGAUACUGAUAAUCUUCUCAAACUUAGGCAUUUCAAUUACGCAAAGAGUACUCAAAUCAAGUUGAAAUGGACAGCUUUUAUGUUGAUCUGCUAAGAUCCUGCCCUUAUCAUGAUGGGACAAAGAAGCAAAGUAAGUAGUUGGUUUGUCCUGUCAUUUUUUUCUUGUACAUACUCAAACUAUACCAUUUCAUUAUCAAUACUUCAAGCUUCAUGUGGUUGGGAUCUUACUGUUGAUACCCACAGCCUCUUAUUUUGAA